Molecule: unclassified non-coding RNA, 352 nt
Filed under: soil metagenome
Description: partial contains 5.8S ribosomal RNA, internal transcribed spacer 2, and large subunit ribosomal RNA
Rfam family: 5.8S ribosomal RNA (bases 1-120)
Source: RNAcentral
GAUGAAGAACGCAGCGAAAUGCGAUAAGUAAUGUGAAUUGCAGAAUUCAGUGAAUCAUCGAAUCUUUGAACGCACAUUUCGCCCGCCAGUAUUCUGGCGGGCAUGCCUGUUCGAGCGUCAUUACAACCCUCAGGCCCCCGGGCCUGGCGUUGGGGAUCGGCGGAGCCCCCCGUGGGCACACGCCGUCCCCCAAAUACAGUGGCGGUCCCGCCGCAGCUUCCAUCGCGUAGUAGCUAACACCUCGCGACUGGAGAGCGGCGCGGCCACGCCGUAAAACACCCAACUCUUCUGAAGUUGACCUCGAAUCAGGUAGGAAUACCCGCUGAACUUAAGCAUAUCAAUAAGCGGAGGA